GGAAUCAGAGUGUUCCCAGGGGACGCAGCAAACAUACCAGGCAUGCCCAACAUGAAACGGGAUCUAACAGGGAAGAGGAGAGGGAAAGUGGAAGGGAAUCCAUUAUUCAUGAAGGCAACAGUAGUACAACACGGCCUCCACAGACCCAUGCAGCGUUGGAUAAGGUUACUGCAGAAACAAGGGUUGGUAAUGGUAUGCCAAAGCUCUGCUUCUUGGGUGCAGAAAGCAGAGAGGCAUUGAGUCCUGUCUUUCCCUUCCCAUAACACUCUCCUGAUGCAUAUGACAGCAGAAAUAAGCUUCUUUGGAAGCUCUACCUAUGGUCCCUGGAAGACUUAGGAAGUUAGAAGCCCAUAAAGCACAGGAAGAGGGAGUAGCAAGAGAGAUGGCAGACAAGUGAGACCAGGGUAGCAGAGAAGCGAAUGAAACAUGAAUGCAAACCAUGCAGCCACAAGGCUCUGGUUAGCCAGAGGAAGAGCCGAAGCUCAGAGAAUGGGGCUCAAGAGCUUUGGCACAGGCUCCUAGAUGGCUGUAUCAGAGCUUCCUGUCUCUCCAUGUGUGUUACCUGCUCCCCUUCUCAGCCUCUCACCAAGGCUGAUCCUGAUUUCCUCGAUAGGGAAACCUAUCAGGGCUUGGCACUUGUCUCAGAUUACAGCAUAUGCUUGCUCUGGCUCUGCCGUGUCUCACAAAACAAUGAUUUCUAUUACAUCUCCUAGACAGCCUCUCUUUUUUGUUCCCUGUGUUUGCUCCUUUCCCUCUUUCUUCCCCUUGAAACCAGAGACACUGGCUCCUAUCAGUCAGGCUGGCUGUAAGACACCUCUUACACCUGGAUGAUGAGCAGGUAGAGAUACAAUGCUGACUGUUACAAUACAGAGAAUACACCUCAGCAGCUGUCCGAGAGAAUUAAACAUAACUGGUUGCUUAGGCAGGAGACCAAGCUCUGACUGUCUAACACUUACCUUGGGAACAUCCUGAAAGUAUGCCAGAAUAUUCAUAACAAAGAGGAGGAAUCAACAGCUCAUAAGAACAUAAAUAUUAAACAGGGCUAGACUGAUUUGCAGGGAAAGGGUUGUAGCCUUUAUAGCUCGUUUCCCCUCAGUGCCAUUACCUGCAGCUCCUUUACCGGGGCUACUUAAACUGUGCAUGAGAUGCUAGCUCUAGUUUUUUUCCAGGCAUCAAAUGCUGGUUGUUGUGUGUAUCACUGUAGCUGCUAGAACACAAGUGCUCAAUUAGAAUCAAACCUGGAAUCUUGCAGGCAGCAGGAAGUGCAGAAUUUCCUACUCUGGGAGCUCAGGCAAGCAGAAAUGUGUGCAGGCAUCUGAAAUGAAGAUGAUCUCUCAACUAAGCAGCCCUACGCAGAAGAUGCCAGAGUUGCAUUGGAGACCAUUCUGGCCAAUUCCGCUGAAUCAGUUGUGUAAGAAAUGCCUGCUGCCAGCUUCUCUGCCCACCACUGUUGAGAUCUCCUCACUGAGGCUUGCUUAGCUUUUUCAUCAUCACCACCACCACUCCCUGCCUGCUCAGGCUUGGCCUUGGUAAUCCUCACUGUCGUCUUCCCGCUUCUGGCCAGCCCCAUGCUUUCUGCACACCUUCCUCGGAGAAGCAGCCUCUGCCUGCAAAUUCCUUGGGGAAGCCUUCUGGCCGUAUUGAUGGUGUGAUCCCAGGUGUGGAAGAACGCGCCCUGGGGAGAUGAUUUGCUGUGGCACAGUGGUGAAAGCUCAUCAACAACAAUGUCACUACCUGGGUCAGUCUCCUUUGGUUUUGAGGCUGCAGUGAAAACUGCUUGCAAAGGACAGAAUUUGCUGCUGGCUGGUAUGAACUGCUCUUCCAGUCCCAGCCUGACUGAAUUCAAGGUAACAGCCUUGUGCUGAGUGCGCUGUUGAAAGGAGCAGGAAUAUAAGGUGAACCUGGCUUCCCCUUCCCAGAAUGAAACUGCCUCUUCAGGAGAAGGGAGCAGGCAGCAUAAAGACAGACCUUGUCCUGACUCUCCCUGCAUUGUGACUUUCUCGUGGGUUUGCUUUCUGAGGUUCAAGUCUAAGGAGUUUCUGUCAAACGUACUGUUCGCAUUGUCAACAUGUGGUGUUUUACUCUAGAUUAAUGCUGUAUCUCGUGUGUGGGAACACAUGUAGGUGUGGAGACAGAAAUCUGGGGCCUUAUUCUUCAGUGGCCUUGUGCUUGGAGGAUCAUUUGCACCUUCAGCAAAAUGUGUGUGGGGUGGGUAUGGAAACACUGCUAAAUCUGAAGGGCCUGCCACCCACAUGGGGUAGGUGCAAGUGAUGAAACAAAACAACCCGUGCAUCAUCUCUGAGGUCCACAAAGUCGGGAAUUUUUGAUAUUUUCUUAUUCCUCCCAUAACCAGGGUAAGGCUGUUCUCUGUAGAAGCGAGCUUUGGUGUGAUUAACUGCCCUGGCAGUGGUGUUUCCUGAGCUAUUGGUUUGGGAUAGAUGCAUGAGAUCUAAAGGAGUGCAAGUGGAUGGCACGAAAGGUGGCUGCAACAGCUCAUGGACAAUAGAAGAGGGAUGCUGGGCUCUUCAGCCAGGAAUGAACCAUUAGCACAUGUCACAUAUUUCCCAGUGCCAGCUCACAUCAUAACACCUACUGAAACUGUUUUGAUUCUCAUGUUUGAUAAGUGGGUGAGAUGGGAGCCCUCACUAUGAGUCCAGACUCUGCUAACCCCUGUGCAUGCUUUCACUGCACCAGUGAUCUGGCUGACUGGAUGGGCAUAAUUGUUUAACUAAGAAGAAAAUUAGCUCUAUCACAGCUGAAACAGUGGCGAGCUCUGCUUUUCUUCUCCCAAAACAGCCUUGCAGUAAGGAAAAAUCCUAUGUUAAGUCACUGAUCUGCCUGUUUCGGCAGGUACUUGGGAGCCUCUUCUUGAACAAGUGUUUUCUGGGGAACUAAGCAUCGCCUGCAGUUACAGGCAGAUCUGUGGCCUUGAAAGAGCCCACAGCAGAAAAGGAGCAGGAAGGAGAGCUGUCAGGAGAAAGACCUUUCAUUCUGGCCCUACUGGGGACAGCAUCUCAGCUCAGACUGGUAUGAGAAGGAGAGAGCAUGGAGGUGCUCAGCUGUGCCAACUGCCACCUGGUUUUUGGAAGUGAUUAGGGCUCACACUCCCCUGCCUGGCCAUCCUGGCCUAAAGGAGCAGCCGUGGAAGCAGGGCAUGGUGUCAGUGGAGGCUGCAAGCCCUGGGAGAGAGUUUCUGGGGAACCAGAAAGCCCUUUUGAAGGCAGGUCAGGAUAUCAGCCAGUCGUGGCAGCCCACGGCUGGGGAGCAGGGUGGCUCUCACACCUGUCUGCUUUCUGUUCUGGCGGGUUUGUGAAGGCCCAGCCAGUUGAAACCGCUCAGCUUUCAUCUCCUGACUCGCUGAAGCAUUCUGUGUUGAGCUUUGAAAGCCUGGCCAAAAAUGAAGCACAACUAACUGCAGGGAGAGCAAGACCUGCUGUGAAUCCCAACCUGCUGCAGGGGAGACGGAGCUGGCGUGAAACAGAUGGGUAUUAUUCCCGUGCAGAGGGCAAAGGGGCUUCACCAUCGCUUCCUCCCAGCCAGAGCAUCUGGCAUGCGACUCAAGGGGACUUCAGUGAGAGCUGCGCUUCUAUCAAACCUAAUCAAGGCAAGUCAGCACGCGCUCCUGUCUAAAGUAAAGCAAUGAGGCCAGCAGUACGACAGGGAGCCUACACUUGGGAAUUCCUCCAGCAGCCGCUGCUUUGAGCAGGGCCAGGGGCAGUCCAGCACGAGGUGCAAAUCUGCAAAGAGCCCCCCCCUCCUGCGCAGGGCUGGGCUGGAGAGCACCUUGGCAAGGGCUGAGCGUUGCUGCAAGGAAGCCGUGUUAUUUGGAGGAUUUGUG
Molecule: long non-coding RNA, 3838 nt
Organism: Pezoporus occidentalis (night parrot)
Lineage: Eukaryota; Metazoa; Chordata; Aves; Psittaciformes; Psittacidae
Exons: 3
Source: RefSeq, a predicted model, not a curated record